AAGUCGUAACAAGGUCUCCGUUGGUGAACCAGCGGAGGGAUCAUUACCGAGUUUACCGCUCAUAACCCUUUGUGAACCUUUAUACCUAGUUGCCUCGGCGGCGCGCCUCCGGGCGUGCCCGCCGGUGUUACAGUCUCUCAGUUUGAAACCGACGUUACUUCUGAGUGUUCUAAGCGAACUGUUAAAACUUUCAGCAACGGAUCUCUUGGCUCCA
This 214-nucleotide unclassified non-coding RNA is filed under the name fungal sp. RNAcentral describes it as "partial internal transcribed spacer region". The stretch from base 1 to 46 matches the Rfam family "Eukaryotic small subunit ribosomal RNA", at positions 1786 to 1831 of the family's 1831-position model. The record is from RNAcentral. Lineage: Eukaryota; Fungi.